This is a long non-coding RNA of Jaculus jaculus (lesser Egyptian jerboa), 480 nucleotides long. RefSeq lists it as uncharacterized. The record is from RefSeq and is a predicted model, not a curated record. The transcript has 4 exons. NCBI's taxonomy places the organism in Eukaryota, Metazoa, Chordata, Mammalia, Rodentia, Dipodidae.
AGAAUGGGAAGGUGAACAAUAGGGAAGCGAGAGAGGGGUGUACAGCGUUUGAACCAGUGGAGAGAUCCACUAUACUGUGCAUGCAGCUUCGGCACUCCAGAAGCAAGAUAUACCACAUCUUGGUUGUCUGUUCAUCUAAUGGUGGAUGUCUGGGUUGAUGACAGUUCUUAGCUAUUAUAAAUUGAGCAGCUAUAAACAUGGUUGAGCAAAUCUCUCUGAACUGAGGUUCAAUAACUUAACCAUCCACCUAAACACAUUGGACAAACAAAACGAAUCCAACCCAAAAAGCUCCAUGGACAACUUAAAUCUUUAAAGGGAUAUUCACAAAUGACUACAUUGUGUAAGACUCGAAGGAACAAAGAAUUAUGGAAAUUACAGCUCAAAAAGAAUUGGAAAAGGGUACCAAAUACCUAUGAUGUCCCAGAUAGACACAGAUCCUAAGGAGAGAACCAUCCCAUCAUACCUCAAAAGGACUCCAGC